CCCGCCCAGGCAUAAACCUGACUCAGGUGAUACAGGCGAGGCUUCUCCCAUGGGUCCUCCCCUUGUGAGAAAGGGUCUGUGCUGUGUACCUUCUCUCUGCACAGCCAUUGUCAGUGUGGUUUGGAGUGAGUGAGCCUCCCGCACUGCUCAGGGGAGAGCUGGUGAGCAUGACUCCAUGGCCUCCUGCUGGUUGGGGUCUUCUUCUGAUUCUCACCAGCAGGAGCACCCAGACCCCCCCUUUUCAGAAAUGAUUACAUUUUCCCUUCAAGAGUCAUCUGUGACCUGGCAGUGUGGAGGGACUGUCCCCUCCUACAGCCUGGCCAACCCCCUUCCUCCAGGGCUGUGUGGAAUCACCUCUCGGAAGCUCACUCUGAAAAGCCACUCACAGGGAUUUCACCAGGAUGUUGCUGUUCCUGCCGACACCUGGGCUUUGUGACAAAUGCUGUUUGCUUCAAGCUGUUCACAAGCAACUUCACCAGAAUCCCAAGCUGGGGUGGAGUAUAAACCUAACUUUUGGAAACAUGAAGAAAUAAACAAUAGCGCCAGCCGUUCGGAGGGUGUCCUUCUGUGCUUUGCAGGGGGCAGGGGGUGCGCAUUAGCCGCCAUGAGCAGCCCAUCCUCAUCAGAGAAACCCAGACUUGCCGAGACCCCUCAAACGACUCAACACCAUUGCAGUGGUUUUCUGUGUGGGCUCCUGAUCAUCACCGUAAUCUGCCCCAGAUGGGAGACACCGGGAUCCAGCUCCUGGACACCGGCCUUACCGGCCCAUCUUCUACAUGGAGAGCAGAAGUGCCACGGGGCCAGUUUGUGGCUCUCCCCGAGAAGGGAGGAUGGCUCAGAGUGUCACACUGACCUAAGGCAUGACCUCUUAGACUCCUAGAAGCUCUUUGGUUUCAAGAAAGAUGAUCUGGGUUCAUUUCACGUUU
Molecule: long non-coding RNA, 926 nt
Organism: Gorilla gorilla gorilla (western lowland gorilla)
Lineage: Eukaryota; Metazoa; Chordata; Mammalia; Primates; Hominidae
Exons: 3
Source: RefSeq, a predicted model, not a curated record